AGUCAAGAAAGCAAGGGCACAAGGUGGAUGCCUUGGCACAUGAAGGCGAAAAAGGACGUAAGUGAACGAAAACUAGGGUAAGCUCACAAAAAGCAUUGACCCCUAGGUCUCCGAAUGGGGCAACCCGGUUGUGGAAGACACAAUCAUUACUAAGUGAAUACAUAGCUUAGUAAGGCGAUACCCUGCGAACUGAAACAUCUAAGUAGCAGGAGGAAAAGAAAGAAACAUCGAUUUUCUAAGUAGCGGCGAGCGAACGGAAAAGAGCCUAACUCAUAAGCGAUUUAAUAAUGUUAGUCAAAUUAUCUGAAAAGAUAAACCAAAGAAAGUGAAAGUCUUGUAGACGAAAACAUUAAUAAACGAGAGGGAAAGUAUCACCGGGCACGAGUAACCCGGUGUGAAGAUAGGGGGCCCAUCCCCUAAGGCUAAAUACUAACAUGUGACCGAUAGUGAACAAGUACCGUGAGGGAAAGGUGAAAAGAACCCCGAAAGGGGAGUGAAAUAGAACCUGAAACCUAGUGCCUACAAGCAGACAGAGCGUGAGCGAACGUGAUGUCGUACCUUUUGUAGAAUGGGCCAGCGAGUUAUUCUAAAUUGCAAGGUUAAUGAUUUAAGAUCAGAAGCCGUAGCGAAAGCGAGUCUUAAUAGGGCGAAAGUAAGUUAGAAUAGACCCGAAACCGGGUGAUCUAUCCAUGGUCAGAGUGAAGUUGAAGUAAAAUUCAAUGGAGGCUCGAACCGGGUGCGGUUUAAAACGCAUCGGAUGAACUGUGGAUAGGGGCGAAAAACCAAACGAACCCGGAGAUAGCUGGUUCUCCUCGAAAUAGCUUUAGGGCUAGCCUCUGACCUAAGAUUUUAGGAGGUAGAGCACUGAAUGGUCUAGGGCGGAUUACCGUACCAAAACCUAUCAAACUCCGAAUGCCAAAAAAUCAAGUCAGGGAGUCAGACUUAGGGGGAUAAGCUUCUAAGUCGAAAGGGAAACAGCCCAGACCGACAGCUAAGGUCCCAAAAUUUGAAUUAAGUGGAAAAGGAUGUGAAUCUACUAAGACAACCAGGACGUUGGCUUAGAAGCAGCCAUGCAUUUAAAGAAUGCGUAAUAGCUCACUGGUCAAGUGGGUUUGCGCCGAAAAUGAACGGGGCUCAAAUUCAAUACCGAAGCUUCGGAUUAAUAGAGGGAUUAAGUUUACAAAUGAGACUAGGAAAUAUUUAACAAAAACAGAAGAGAUUAAAAAGAAAAACAAAUUUCAGACGCAGACAUAAAAGAUAGGAUAUUAAAGAAAAAUAUUCAAAAAAAAAACACAAGUCUAAAGUCAAAAGUGAGUAACAUAAGAAAUUAUGAACUAACAAUCACUGGUUAAGAGUUAAAAACUAGGACUCAUAGCUAAACUUAAUACCUCUAUUAGUGGUAGAGGAGCAUUGUAUUAGAGACGAAGCCAAGGCGAAAGCAAAAGUGGAUCUAAUACAAGAGAGAAUGCUGGCAUGAGUAGCGAGAAGGGAUGUGAGAAUCAUCCCCGUCGAAACCCUAAGGACUCCUGAGCAAGGCUCGUCCCCUCAGGGAAAGUCGGGACCUAAGCCAAGGCCGAAAGGCGUAGGCGAUGGAUAACAGGUUUAUAUUCCUGUACCGCUUGAAGUCGUUAAGAGAGAAGUGAUGACGCAAAAGGAUAAGCAAAGCCAUCAGAUGGAAAAGAUGGUCUAAAGCCGUAGGAAGAAAAGUAGGCAAAUCCGCUUUUCACAAAUUCUAAAAGCCGAUAGGUAUCGAAAACAUAAGUAGAGAAGUUGCCGAUUCCAGGUUGCCAAGAAAAGUCACUAUCCAGACCAAAGCGCCCGUACCAAAACCGACACAGGUAGGGAGGUAGAGAAUACCAAGACGCGCGGAAGAACCUUUGUUAAGGAACUCGGCAAAAUGUCCCCGUAACUUCGGGAGAAGGGGAGCCUGAGCAAUCAGGCCACAGAAACCAGGCCCAAGCGACUGUUUACCAAAAACACAAGUUUCUGCAAAAUCGCAAGAUGAAGUAUAGGAGCUGACACCUGCCCGGUGCUGGAAGGUUAAGGGGAAGGCUUAGAGCAAUCGAAGGCUAGAACUUAAGCCCCAGUAAACGGCGGCCGUAACUAUAACGGUCCUAAGGUAGCGAAAUUCCUUGUCGGGUAAGUUCCGACCCGCACGAAAGGUGUAACGAUUUGGG
Molecule: ribosomal RNA, 2177 nt
Filed under: Veillonella sp.
Lineage: Bacteria; Bacillati; Bacillota; Negativicutes; Veillonellales; Veillonellaceae
Description: partial 23S ribosomal RNA
Rfam family: Bacterial large subunit ribosomal RNA
Source: RNAcentral